AAGUCGUAACAAGGUUUUCGUAGGUGAACCUGCGGAAGGAUCAUUAGUGAAUUCUUGGGAGUCCCUCUUAACCAGAGAAGGCCCAGUCCACUAUUUUACAAACCCUAGUGCAUCUGUCCCCUUUAUAUAUAACCCUUGUGCAUUACAAAAGGUUGUUGUGUUGAUAAUUUGAUAAUUGAAAGAAAAACUUUCAGCAAUGGAUCUCUUGGCUCUC
This 214-nucleotide unclassified non-coding RNA is filed under the name Kurtzmanomyces sp. Its description in RNAcentral is "partial internal transcribed spacer region". The stretch from base 1 to 46 matches the Rfam family "Eukaryotic small subunit ribosomal RNA", at positions 1786 to 1831 of the family's 1831-position model. Lineage: Eukaryota; Fungi; Basidiomycota; Agaricostilbomycetes; Agaricostilbales; Chionosphaeraceae. RNAcentral also lists the same sequence under 1 other name. The record is from RNAcentral.